This 441-nucleotide ribosomal RNA is filed under the name uncultured bacterium. RNAcentral's name for it is "partial 16S ribosomal RNA". It matches the Rfam family "Bacterial small subunit ribosomal RNA", at positions 338 to 795 of the family's 1533-position model. The record is from RNAcentral.
CCUACGAGGCGCUGCAGUGGGGGAUAUUGCACAAUGGGGGGAACCCUGAUGCAGCGACGCCGCGUGGGUGAAGGAGUAUUUCGGUAUUUAAAGCCCUAUCUGCAGGGAAGAAUUUAAACGGUACCUGACUAAGAAGCCCCGGCUAACUACGUGCCAGCAGCCGCGUUCAUACGUAGGGGGCAAUCGUUAUCCGGAUUCACUGGGGGUAAAGGGAGCGUAGACGGCCAGGCAAGCCUGGAGUGAAAGCCCGGGGCCCAACCCCGGUACUGCUCUGGGACCUGUCCGGCUGGAGUGCGGGAGGGGCAGGCGGAAUGCCUGGUGUAGCGGUGAAAUGCGUAGAUAUCAGGAGGAACACCGGCGGCGAAGGCGGCCUGCUGGACCGCGACUGACGUUGAGGCUCGAAAGCGUGGGGAGCGAACAGGAUUAGAUACCCUUGUAGUC